GCGCCCUUAGCUCAGCUGGAUAGAGCAACGGCCUUCUAAGCCGUAGGUCACAGGUUCGAACCCUGUAGGGCGUACCA
RNAcentral lists this transfer RNA (77 nucleotides) under Pseudomonas aeruginosa. RNAcentral's name for it is "tRNA-Arg". It matches the Rfam family "tRNA". From Rfam's summary of the family: Transfer RNA (tRNA) molecules are approximately 80 nucleotides in length. Their secondary structure includes four short double-helical elements and three loops (D, anti-codon, and T loops). Lineage: Bacteria; Pseudomonadati; Pseudomonadota; Gammaproteobacteria; Pseudomonadales; Pseudomonadaceae. RNAcentral also lists the same sequence under 265 other names. The record is from RNAcentral.